CUAUUUAACGCAACAUCGUGUGUAUCUAAAUGCCAGUGUGUGAAAUUGCAUUAACGAGAUACUUCAGUACGAGCUGUGGUCCUGAUAUAGAUUUUAUGCAUUCCAUGGAUUCACCGUGCAGGUGCCGGGUCCAUCGCGUUGCAGCGAGAGGAGCUCCUACAGUGCCUGGGACUUGCGACCCAGGUGUAGAUUUUCAAACGAGCUGACGGCAUACUUGGUGGGCAGUAGUGACCGUCGCCCAUGGACCGUCGCCCAUGGACCGUCGCCCAUGGACAUGGAAAAAAAAUCUAUUAAUAAUUUAAUACGAUUACAUACUAAAUUCGUAUAUUUUUAUCAAAUGAUUUUGGUUUAAUGUAAUAUUUUUAUAUAUUUAUAACCAGUUAGGUUAUGUGUUAUACGAAAUUGAAAUUUCAAAUGUCUAUAUAAUGGUGGCUUUUCUGUUGGUAUAAUGUCAUUUAAAUAAUUCUUAUAACUUUUUUUCUUUUCAGCUGAAAUAAGAUAUUGAGAAUUAUAUUUACUAUACUAGAAUGGGAGGUAGAGCAUAAAUUAUAGUAAAAGUAACUGAGUAAGCUUUACUCCGAGCUGAUGUUCUAGACAUAUACGACCUUUUACGAUGCAUAUACCAUUCUUAUGGUUCAAUUGGACAUAACCUAUAGCCUUGUCACCGUAACUCUCA
Danaus plexippus (monarch butterfly) is the source of this 676-nucleotide long non-coding RNA. RefSeq lists it as uncharacterized. The record is from RefSeq and is a predicted model, not a curated record. The transcript has 3 exons. Lineage: Eukaryota; Metazoa; Arthropoda; Insecta; Lepidoptera; Nymphalidae.